GAUGAACGCUAGCGACAGGCUUAACACAUGCAAGUCGAGGGGCAUCAUGAGGUAGCAAUACCUUGAUGGCGACCGGCGCACGGGUGAGUAACGCGUAUGCAACCUGCCCGAUACCGGGGUAUAGCCCAUGGAAACGUGGAUUAACACCCCAUAGUACUUUUAUCCUGCCUGGGAUGGGAGUUAAAUGUUCAAGGUAUCGGAUGGGCAUGCGUCCUAUUAGUUAGUUGGCGGGGUAACAGCCCACCAGGACGAUAAUAGGUAGGGGUUCUGAGAGGAAGGUCCCCCACAUUGGAACUGAGACACGGUCCAAACUCCUACGGGAGGCAGCAGUGAGGAAUAUUGGUCAAUGGACGUGAGUUUGAACCAGCCAAGUCGCGUGAGGGAAGACUGCCCUAUGGGUUGUAAACCUCUUUUAUAAGGGAAGAAUAAGUUCUACGUGUAGAAUGAUGCCUGUACCUUAUGAAUAAGCAUCGGCUAACUCCGUGCCAGCCGCCGCGGUAA
This 501-nucleotide ribosomal RNA is filed under the name uncultured bacterium. RNAcentral describes it as "partial 16S ribosomal RNA". It matches the Rfam family "Bacterial small subunit ribosomal RNA", at positions 28 to 523 of the family's 1533-position model. The record is from RNAcentral.